RNAcentral lists this unclassified non-coding RNA (329 nucleotides) under soil metagenome. RNAcentral describes it as "partial contains 5.8S ribosomal RNA, internal transcribed spacer 2, and large subunit ribosomal RNA". The stretch from base 1 to 120 matches the Rfam family "5.8S ribosomal RNA", at positions 35 to 154 of the family's 154-position model. The record is from RNAcentral.
GAUGAAGAACGUAGCGAAAUGCGAUAAGUAAUGUGAAUUGCAGAAUUCAGUGAAUCAUCGAAUCUUUGAACGCACAUUGCGCCCCUUGGUAUUCCGGGGGGCAUGCCUGUUCGAGCGUCAUUACAACCCUCAAGCUCUGCUUGGUCUUGGGCGUCACCGGUCCCCGGUGUGCCUUAAAAUCAGUGGCGGCGCCAUCUGGCUCUAAGCGUAGUACAUACUCUCGCUACAGACGUCCGGUGGAUGCUGGCCAGCAACCCCCAAUUUUCUAUGGUUGACCUCGGAUCAGGUAGGGAUACCCGCUGAACUUAAGCAUAUCAAUAAGCGGAGGA